CAAGACACUAAUGAUCAUUCCAAGGCUUGGCUUUUUGGUCCAGAAGGAAGCCAGUGAAAAUCUUUUUCACAUGGCUCUUGCCUGAAUAGUCUAGACUCUUCUACUCUCUCCUGGCAGCUGCCUGCACUGUGGGGUGAAUACAGUAACGGAACUACUGCUGGGAUGGGCUGAGUAGAUGGGUGAAGUAGUCGUUCAGAUGGAAGGCACACCUCUUGUCAGUCUAGACAGCAUGACAGAGGGGAGUGCUGAGACCCGGAGUCAGCCUUUUCAGCUGCAUGCUUGUCUCUGCAGUCGGACAUGCUCCGGUCUCUGGCCACUACCCGGCCCACAGUGAAUGCAGAUGACCUCCUGAAAGUAAAGAAAUUCUCUGAGGACUUUGGACAGGAGAGUUAAAGCUUCAUGUUGAUAAUGAAAUUGAGAGUCUGACUGGAGCAAAUUCAUGGGACUUCCCACACCAGUGGCCAGGCAGGGCCUGAAGUCGUGAAGUCAAUAGUAUUCCCUCUACUGCCUGGCUGCCGACCUAGUAGGAUGAAGGAGGGGCCUCGGCAGCUGCAGAGAUGCUUCACCAUGUAGGACACGUGACACUGGCUCUGCACACUUCACUACUGGAUGCUCACACUCUGCCCUGAUCUGUUUUUGUCUAACUUUUGUUCCCCUAAAUUAAUGCUGCUUUGAUUUCUGUCUUGUUUAUAAAUAAAGAGGAAAAUCAUCUGGAAAGUGUUAAGGAGUGGGAGCCACCAGGCCCCUGCUCUCACUCCUUUCCUCUUAACUUUGGCUACUUGUGAGCUGACUGUGGUAAAGUAGGAAAAGCCAUCCCACCCUCCUAAGCUUGCAUCUGGAGCUUCAGGUCCUCCUUGCAGGAGCUGAUGGCUUCUGUGAGCACAAUGCCGUUUCUAUCAGGAGAGACGGCAGACAGGCAGGUCUUUAUCGCUGCCUUCACUGAGAACUGAGAACUGAGCCCAGCCUCUGCUGGUCCUGUCCUGGAGAUGUCUAAUAAACCCUUUCCCUUCUUGA
RNAcentral lists this long non-coding RNA (1014 nucleotides) under Rattus norvegicus (Norway rat). RNAcentral describes it as "long non-coding RNA NONRATT014242". Lineage: Eukaryota; Metazoa; Chordata; Mammalia; Rodentia; Muridae. The record is from RNAcentral.